Molecule: non-coding RNA, 87 nt
Filed under: Sporomusa sphaeroides
Lineage: Bacteria; Bacillati; Bacillota; Negativicutes; Selenomonadales; Sporomusaceae
Also listed under: 1 other name
Description: Sporomusa sp. c-di-GMP sequence
Rfam family: c-di-GMP-I riboswitch aptamer
About the family: GEMM was predicted in a large-scale screen for bacterial structured RNA regulatory elements. Genes associated with GEMM are involved in a diverse array of functions, including chemotaxis regulation, signal transduction, secretion and chitin.
Source: RNAcentral
AAAUUUUCUAGGCAAACUUAUCGAAAGAUGAGGACGCAAAGCUAUGGGUCUAAGGACAGAUUGGUCUACGACUGCCAGGUUGCCGAU